AUACGGAGGACGCGAGCGUUAUCCGGAUUCAUUGGGUUUAAAGGGUGCGCAGGCGGCCGUGCAAGUCAGCGGUGAAAGCCCGGGGCUCAACCCCGGAAGUGCCGUUGAUACUGCAUGGCUGGAAUGCGGUCGAGGCGGGCGGAACGUGGCGUGUAGCGGGGGAAUGCGUAGAUAUGCCACAGAACGCCGAUAGCGGAGGCAGCUCGCCAGGCCUGCAUUGACGCUCGGGCACGAAAGCGUGGGGAUCGAACAGGAUUAGAUACCCUGGUAGUCCACGCCGUAAACGAUGGGCGCUCGUCGUCGGCGGCAGACAGUCGGCGGCCAAGCGAAAGCGAUAAGCGCCCCACCUGGGGAGUACGGUCGCAAGGCUGAAACUCAAAUGAAUUGGCGGGG
Molecule: ribosomal RNA, 393 nt
Filed under: uncultured bacterium
Lineage: Bacteria
Description: partial 16S ribosomal RNA
Rfam family: Bacterial small subunit ribosomal RNA
Source: RNAcentral